Oryza nivara is the source of this 195-nucleotide non-coding RNA. Lineage: Eukaryota; Viridiplantae; Streptophyta; Magnoliopsida; Poales; Poaceae. The record is from Rfam.
UUUAAGCGCAGUCAUAAGUUUUUUUUCUAACUCUAAUUAUACGUAUUAUUUAAAAUUAUUUUAUGGUUAGUAUUUUUUAUUGUUAUUUUAUAAUAAAACAUAAAUAGUACUUUGUGUCUUAUUUAUAUGUUUUAAAUUUUUUUAAAUAAAACGAACAACUAAAGUUAGACAUGAAAACUCAGGUGUGCGCUUAAA